GUGGGGAAUUUUGGACAAUGGGCGCAAGCCUGAUCCAGCAAUGCCGCGUGCAGGAAGAAGGCCUUCGGGUUGUAAACUGCUUUUGUACGGAACGAAACGGUCCGGGUUAAUACCCUGGGCUAAUGACGGUACCGUAAGAAUAAGCACCGGCUAACUACGUGCCAGCAGCCGCGGUAAUACGUAGGGUGCAAGCGUUAAUCGGAAUUACUGGGCGUAAAGCGUGCGCAGGCGGUUUUGUAAGACAGGCGUGAAAUCCCCGGGCUCAAGCUGGGAAUUGCGCUUGUGACUGCAAGGCUGGAGUGCGGCAGAGGGGGAUGGAAUUCCGCGUGUAGCAGUGAAAUGCGUAGAUAUGCGGAGGAACACCGAUGGCGAAGGCAAUCCCCUGGGCCUGCACUGACGCUCAUGCACGAAAGCGUGGGGAGCAAACAGGAUUAGAAACCCUAGUAGUCC
Molecule: ribosomal RNA, 450 nt
Filed under: uncultured bacterium
Lineage: Bacteria
Description: partial 16S ribosomal RNA
Rfam family: Bacterial small subunit ribosomal RNA
Source: RNAcentral